AGGGUUGUAGUUAAUUAUAACAUUUGAGUUGCAUUCAGAAAGUACCAGCAAGGUCUACCUUA
This 62-nucleotide transfer RNA is filed under the name Calcaritermes brevicollis. RNAcentral's name for it is "tRNA-Ala". Lineage: Eukaryota; Metazoa; Arthropoda; Insecta; Blattodea; Kalotermitidae. RNAcentral also lists the same sequence under 1 other name. The record is from RNAcentral.